CAGCGCCUUGGACCUCUGCGUGCAAGGUCGACGGCGCCCUUGCGUGGCGGGAGCGGCGGUGCGGGACGCUGCCCGGCUCCGUGUCGCUGCGGGCUGUGAUGGGCGUUGCCAUCCCCCGCCUUGCCUCAUAGACUGCGGGAUGAGAGAUCCUGUGUGUUAGACUAUAGCAGGGCUUCAGUAGUCUUCCCUCAUGGCUGCUGCGGAGUACGAAGCUGUUACAGCACAAUGACACCAAGAAACGGGCAGUAAGUCACAAAGAGACCUCUCUGACGUUGCAAAGACACACAUGCCCGAACAGUUCAACGGGGGCCACUUUCCCUCGUUUUGUUUUGCCCACUGUGAGGAGCAAAAGCACUGCUGUCUCUGGGAUCCCGCUUGGUGGUUUAUUCUGUCUAUUCUGCACGAAAGGAGCCGUCACUGAAUGUUUUCAGCUAAAAUUUAUUGUACUCUUACAAGUGUAAUAAAAUAUGGACAUACA
This is a long non-coding RNA of Alligator mississippiensis (American alligator), 478 nucleotides long. RefSeq lists it as uncharacterized. The record is from RefSeq and is a predicted model, not a curated record. Lineage: Eukaryota; Metazoa; Chordata; Crocodylia; Alligatoridae. The transcript has 2 exons.